UUAAAAAUUUCUCUAUGGAAGAUAUAUUGUAUAAUAUGAAAUACGUAAAAAAAAAAAAAGGAAGUAAAAAUAUUUGAAAAAAGUUUAUUCUCUCGCAAUAUCAUUUAAAAUCUAAAAUUAUUUCUCCUAUUGUAUCUUGCACAAUUGAACGUACCAAAAAGCCUUUCUCGUUUUAGAAUCUGUGAUUGAUAAUACGAGGCUUUAUAUUUCAAGACAAUAAACGAUUAUCUUAUUCUCGCUUUUACAAAAGCAUAUGUUACAACAAAGCCAAAUCAUACAUAAUAUGUAUAUGUACAAUAUCCAAUAAGUACAUGUCAAGAAUAUAUCUUUGAGUUUUCAUUAAAUAAAAAAAAAAAAAAAAAAAAAAAAAGAAAAAAAAGAGAAAAAGAAAAAAGAAAAGAAAAAAAAUGAUACGAGUAAAAAUUGUUCAAUUAUAUAGAUUAUAUAUAGAAAUUAAUUUGUGAAAUUUCAAAUCAAAGUUAUCAUCCUGAAAUAAUACUACAUAGUAACUCUACAUUUGCAUAAUAAUAAUAAUAAUAAUAAUAAUAAUAAUAAUAAUAAUAAUAAUAAUAAUAAUAAUAAUAAUAAUAAUAAUAGUAAUAAUAAUAAUAAUAAUAAUAAUAAUAAUAAUAAUAAUAGUAAUAAUAAUAAUAAUAAUAAUAAUAAUAAUAAUAAUAAUAAUAAUAAUAAUAAUAUAUGUAUAAAAUGAGGGAACUUCAUUGAGAACUGAUAACCAUACUUUCGUUUAGAUUUAAAAUGCUUUGUUGGAAUUAUCGUCUACAAUGGCGUCUUAAAAAUUAACUUUAUCAAUGUUUUUUCGUGUAGUUUGAAUGUACGUAUAGGCAAUUUACAAAAUGAUAUAAUCAGGUGCUUCCUUUAACGAAAAAAAAAAAAAAAGACAAACAAACAAAGGAUGGAGACUAACAUAUAAGAAAUGAAAAUACAUUAUCAAAAUUUUAAGAAAUUGUCUUUCAUUUGUACCUGUUUCAAUUGAAUUAUUUUCAUCGGAUCUUUCUUUAUAAAGUGAUCUCAUUUUUAUCUAGAAAAUAACUUUCUCUCUUUGGUAAGAAAAACUAUAGAUAAAACCACAAACGAAACUUCUAUCAUAUGUCAUGCUCUGAAUACUGUACGUUGGUAUAUAUAAGAAAAUAUCUUUCAUAUGUUGUCUUUUUCUAUGGUUGAUAGUGCAUGUAUCGUCGGAAGAUAAUAAGUCAGACAAAUCGUAUUACAAAAAAUAUGAAGAAGUUCCACGUGUAAAAAUAAAAGUAUUUCGUGGUCCAACGGAAGAAAGAAAUGGCGAAACAUUUGCUAAAUGGGGAUUUUGGAUAAAACAACCACGUAACUCAUCUGUACAUAUUGAUUAAUAAAUUAAAACUAAGUUACGUGGUGACAAUUUUGCAUUAAAUACUGGUCUUAUUAUAGGAUUUAAGUUUCUUUCUGAAAGAUAUAAAAAUCUAUCCAAAAGUACUAAUGUUUCUACCAAUGGUGCUAAUAAAAUUCUAAGCGAUGAAAAUAUAACUAUUUGUAACCAAUAA
Molecule: long non-coding RNA, 1535 nt
Organism: Vespa crabro (European hornet)
Lineage: Eukaryota; Metazoa; Arthropoda; Insecta; Hymenoptera; Vespidae
Exons: 4
Source: RefSeq, a predicted model, not a curated record